Long non-coding RNA from Cygnus olor (mute swan), 398 nucleotides. RefSeq lists it as uncharacterized. The record is from RefSeq and is a predicted model, not a curated record. The transcript is spliced from 4 exons. NCBI's taxonomy places the organism in Eukaryota, Metazoa, Chordata, Aves, Anseriformes, Anatidae.
AUGCAAUGUGAAGCUGAAAAUCUGUUUCUCUUCAGAGAUUGUGAUCCAAAAGCUCCCUGAAUCAAGCAGAAAAUCUCAAUUGACUCUACACAUUUUUAUACUUGUUCAAAGUAGGUUAUCUUCUUGGACAUAGAGUAUUCUGUCACAGUCACGGACACCGUUUAAAAGCUUAAAGUGAAAAACAGAAGCCUGGAUUAAGGAAAAAUCAACUUAAACUUGGAAUUGUGGAAUGUCUUGGGGUGAUUUGCUGGAAUCAGAAGUAAACAAUGGGUGCAAAAGGAAACAAGCAGAGACUCCAACUGUUUUGGUUAAUCUUUCUCCUGUGUUAGCUGUCAUGGCAUCGGCACUAGUUUAAAAACUGUUGAUAGGAAGAGGAGGGAACCAAAGCAGAGGAGAGA